Molecule: long non-coding RNA, 221 nt
Organism: Falco peregrinus (peregrine falcon)
Lineage: Eukaryota; Metazoa; Chordata; Aves; Falconiformes; Falconidae
Exons: 3
Source: RefSeq, a predicted model, not a curated record
GGCGGAUUCUGAAAGUCCGGAAGAAGGAUCACCUGGUGUGUUGCUUCCAGCUGCAGACAGACACGGAGCACGCUCGCGGAUUGUUUCAGGGGAGCGCCACACCGGCAUUUUGGAGAACCCCGACAAUUCCCAGCUGAAGACCCCUGCAUCUGUUUUGGAAAUGAAUGAAACCUCUCCUAAAAAAAUGCAGCAGAAAUCAGGUAAUGUUCACGGCAUGUAGU